CCGUUCGUGCAUGAAGCCACAUCAACAGCAACACUUGAACCAUCAACUUUUCCUUUAACCACUAGCAUGCUUUCAAGUUUCAACACUAACAGUUCCAUCACAUUUCAGUUUCAAAAUCACCGUUGAACCUUGGGAAUUAACCACCUUAUUUGCAAGCUGAACCUGAAUGCCGCUAUGUUCACCAAUUAAUGGUUUUGUAUUUAUCAAGCAGAAGAUUGAAUUAUAUUGAAUGGGUAAGGUUCUACCUUUUUUCAGUUACUAAAUCAAAGACAUCCAUUUAUAAUUAUCAACACAAAUUUAGUGCUAUCUGAUUAUUAUACCAACACCCACCAAAAUUUAUCAGAUUUCACAACAGAUACAACCUCAUGGCCAUAAUGCCAUAUUAACCAGAUAGAUAUUAUAAGAAACAGUUUAGACUCCAAAGAGUUGGUUUCUUUGUACUUUGCUUAAAUUGAUUCGUGUCUUCCUUAGAGAAUUCCUUUGAAACCCUUAUCAGUAGACUAAUCAAACACAAGGACGCAAUGCCUUUUGCAUUUGCAAAAUCAGUUCUUAAUGUAGUUGAAAAAUUGCAUUCAGGGAUUAGGGUCAUUGAAGGACAACAGAUAUAUCCAUGCCUUAUAUUAUGAUUGAAAUUUUAUAUUAAAAUUGCAUUUAAGGCAACAACUAGCUUUCACAUUAAGGCAUCAUCCAACAUUUUGAGCCAGCAAGACAAUCACUUACAAAAAUCAAGGAACAAAGUAUAUCCAUCGAAUUUGGAGUUAGUCAUCUCAUGUAAACCAUACCACUAGUGACAGUUUCNNNNNNNNNNNNNNNNNNNNNNNNNNNNNAUUAAGUUCAUCCAACAUUUUACUCUAUAGUCAACGAGACAUCUAUGAUCUAUCCAUUAUCCCUAGUAUCUCAUCCAUCUGUUACCCUGUAGUCAUUGAGGUAACAACUAUCUUUCACAUUAAGGCAUCAGUCAACAUUAGAGACAAGGGUCAUUAAGCUCAAAAUGCAAAAUUACUUCUAGUUGCAGUUGCAGAAUUGAAUUUAGGGACUAAGGGUCAUAAAAAUAGAAUAUAUAUCCAUUCAUGCAUUAUUAUCCAUUCAUGCAUUAUUAUGAAUAAAAAUUCAUAAUUUUUUUAAUUGAAAAGUGGACACCGAUAGAGACAAUUGCUUGAGUAGCAAUUAAAGCAACAACUAACUUUCAUAUCAGGGACUAGGGUCAAUCAGUUCAUCCAACAUUUUACUCUAUGGUAACUGAGGCAUCUAUGAUCCAUCCGUUACAAAAUUUACAAGACAAAGUAUAUUCAUCGAUUCCAACUUUCACAUUUGUGCCUUAUUAUUUUUCGUCAAAACACAAUUUCAUUUAAGGCAACAACUAGCUUUCGCAUUAAGGCAUCAUCCAACAAAAAUCAGGGAAAAAAGUAAAAUCUUGUUAUUAUCGAAUUUGGAAUUAGUGGGUUCAUGUAUACGUAUACUAUACCACCCUUUAUAGAUAAUGAAAAGAAAAAUCAUCUAAGUGACAUUUUCACAAUUAGGGUCAUAAUAAGACAAUAGAAGACACCAUGCACAUUUUGAAUAAAAGUUCAUAUUCAAAUUUCUUUAAAGGCCACCAUCCAACUUUUCCUUUAUGAAUAAAGAGUUCGUAAUGCAUUCUACUCUAAGGUCAUUGAAGUAUCUAUUCCUUAAAAAACUUAUGAAACAUUCGGAACUAGGGUGAUUAAGAUCAUAAUAAGUCACUAAGUUUCAUUCUCAGGAAGACAGUGUAGAAAAGAAAUUGAUUUAGUGUGGUCCAAACAAUAAUUAUCUUAGAUUUUGCAUCAUCCUGCAUUUUUGGCUUAUCAAGAAAAUCCCUUACAAAAAUCACGGAACAAAGUAUAUUCAUCUUAUUGUUGAAUUUUGAGUUAGUGGGCUCAUGUUUACCACACAAUGCAUGAUAAUGAAAAAAAAUUCAUCGCAGUGACAGAUUCACAGUUCGGGUCAUAAUGCAUUUUACUCUGACGCCAUCGUCUAAUGGAGGCAUCCAUUCCUUACAAAACUUAUGAAAUAUUAGGUAAAAGGUCAUUAAGAUCAUAAUUCAAAUCACUGCAAAAUUGAAUUUAGGGACUAAGGGUCAACAAAGCACAAUAGAAAUCCAUUCUUGCAUUUUGAAUAAAAAUUCAUAUAUAUUUUUUGAUUUUUGACAAUAAAGAGGACACAUAUAGAGACAAUUGUUUGAGUGGCAAUUAAGGCAACGUCUUGCUUUCACAUUCAGGGACUAGGGUCAUUAAGAUCGUCCAACAUUUUACUCUAUAGUCAUUGAGGCAUCUAUGAUCCAUCCAUUACAAAAUUUAUAAAACGUAGUAUAUUCAUCGAUUCCAAUGUUCAAAUUUAGGGUCUCGGCACAGAGCAUAUCAGUUUCUUUUGAAUGUUCUUGAAAACAUUUUGUUUGAUUGUCUAAUAUCACAUAAGGUUGAGAUUCAAACAAUUAUUAUGAAAAAAAUAUAUAUAAACUAGGAAGAUUGAUACUUGACAAAAUUCAACAAUAUAAGCUCCACUCAUGAAAUCAAAACAUAAAAAACUGAGACAGGAAUCAUAUACCUCAUUUUCAAAUUUGGGAUAGAAAGUUGUUCUAGUUCGUGCAUGAAACCACUUCAACACCAACACCUGAACCAUAAACCUUUCCUUUACCCACCAGCAUGCUUUCAAUUUCAACCCUAACAGUUCCAUGAGAUUUCGGUUUCAAAAUCACCGUUGAACCUUGGGAAUUAACCACCUUAUUAGCAAGCUGAACCUGAACACCGCUAUGUUCACCAAUAAAAUGUUUUGUAUUUAUCAAGCAGAAAAUUGAAUUAUAUUGAAUGAUCAAGAAUGAUAAAAAUGGGUAAGGUUCUACCUUUUUCAGUUACUAAAUCAAAGACAUCCAUUUAUAACUAUGAACACAAAUUUAGUGCUAUCUGAUUCUUAUACCAACACCCACCAAAAUUUAUCAGAUUUCACAAUAGAUCUCCAGUAAAAAAGACUAACAGAUACAACCUCAU
RNAcentral lists this long non-coding RNA (3002 nucleotides) under Trifolium pratense (red clover). Its description in RNAcentral is "long non-coding RNA (TPRA_LNC011388)". Lineage: Eukaryota; Viridiplantae; Streptophyta; Magnoliopsida; Fabales; Fabaceae. The record is from RNAcentral.